UUUGGUGGUUUGACGGUGAGGUCACACCUGAUCUCAUUCCGAACUCAGAAGUUAAGCUCACUAGUACCGAUGAUACUCUUUUGGAGGGGAAAGUAGGUAACCGCCAAAA
This 109-nucleotide ribosomal RNA is filed under the name Candidatus Gottesmanbacteria bacterium. The record is from RNAcentral. Lineage: Bacteria; Candidatus Gottesmaniibacteriota.